UUUUAUUUUUUUAGACGAAGCCUCGCUCUGUCACCCAGGCUGGAGUGCAGUGACACAAUCUUGGCUCACUGCAACCUCUGCCUCCCAAGCUCAAGCAAUUUCUGGCAAAUUUUUGUAUUUUUAGUAGGGACGGGGUUUCGCCAUGUUGUCCAGGCCGGUCUUGAACGCCUGACAUCAAGCGAUUUGCCCUCAAGUGACCCACCCACCUUGGCCUCCCAAAGUGCUGGAAUUACAGGCAUGAGUCACGGCACACGGCUGACAAACUAUAUUUUGAGAAGGUAAAUACUAGUGAUCAUGAAACACUAAUACUAGUGAUCAUGAAAACAGAGGAGCUGAAACUUCUAGGCACAUUCAGGCUAGGUCACAUCCUAUUUCAGGUGGUAGCUCCACCUUGAAAAGCAGGGGGCUGGAGAUUUUCUUGGUUAAAUUAGAGGCUGCAGACACCCGCAGCUGCUAGAGGCAGAGCUGGGAUUCAGGAAUGGGCUUGCUGACUCCAACAGUGAAGGUCUUCCCCUCCAAGAGACCCCACCCGUGGGGAAGGGUGACCCUCAAAUCUUGGACAUCAGGUCCAACUUUCGGCCCAGUUGACUUUUCCACAAAGGAAGGAUUUCAGGGCUCUGAGAAGUCCCAGAAUAUCUGCCCACAGCAAUCUAGCAUCAUCAGAACCCACCUUCACGUGUAGCCACCGUGUCUCCAUGUUCCUGGUAAUGCACGCUCCCAGGCUCAGAGUCUGGAACUGCUGAUGGAGGGGCGGGUUCUGGGCCCUGCAAAGAACCGAGGCUCCGCAGUCACAGUCUUCGAUUAGACAGAGCCCCUCCAGUUCUCAGACGAUUUCUUAGGCUACCCCGAAAAUAGAGAGAGGAAGGGACCUGCCCUUGAUCACACUGUCAGUAACACAAUCAGAACAGAAAUCUAGGGCUCUUGGCCUUCAAGCCUCUGUUCUUCGCUUAACACACGGCUGGCAGAGAUGGGGAGACCUGAGAGGGCCCUGAGGGUGAGGGCAUUUGCACUGGGUGCAGAGCGCCUUUGGAAGGCAGGGAAGUCCAGGAAGGUAAACACACACACACGUUGUAAAUAUGGCGAAAAUCAGAGAGGAGGAAAUGUCAGGGACUCCUCCAGCACGGAAAACAUCCUGAUAGUUUGGAGCGCCGGGAAGAGUGGGCACCUUGGAAUCUGCAAGGCAUUCUUUUGCGUUUCACCUGCAGUGGGGUGGGGUCUCUGGGGUCUGCCCUCCCUCCUACUCUACAUGCAUUACCCAUCUUAUAGCCGGGCCGUCCCUGCAAAAUUCCAGCUGCAUGGGGGAACCACACUUCUGACUUCAGAAUGAAACCAGUGUUUUGCACACAUUCAUUCCUCAGUCCCCUUGCUGGGACCCUUCUCUGUUAUGAAAGCAGAGAUCCCACCCGAAUAGGGUGACUUUGGGGCGAUGGAUUACCUUUGGCAGGUCCUGUGGGUCAGGAAUUUAGGGGUGCAGCGUGGGCCCACAGCAUACCCAGUAGCCAAGGAAGACCCUCCCCUACCCGAGGCUCAAGCAGGCGCCAGGCCCCAAACCCUCACUCCUCUCUGGUCUAAAUCCCCGCCGUAGGAUUUUAUUUUUCGGUGCUGAGGUGCUUUGCUGGAGGAGCUGCCAGGGGGAGCUGCGCGGGGCAGGCCCGGGGUACCAGAGGCCCUUGCUUUAGCGGCGGCCCUGCGUGUGCCAGAGGCUUGCAGAGUGAUCUGAGCACGCCAAGAGAUUGCUGUCAAUGAAAGCACCAGAUUUCCGCGUAGGAGGGACUCGGGGGCAACGAUGCAAUUGGAAGG
Molecule: long non-coding RNA, 1800 nt
Filed under: Homo sapiens (human)
Lineage: Eukaryota; Metazoa; Chordata; Mammalia; Primates; Hominidae
Description: HSALNT0258155
Source: RNAcentral